This 942-nucleotide small RNA is filed under the name Pongo abelii (Sumatran orangutan). RNAcentral describes it as "retained intron". The record is from RNAcentral. Lineage: Eukaryota; Metazoa; Chordata; Mammalia; Primates; Hominidae.
CCUGUGUUCGAACUGCGGUGGCUCAGGGUGGCUGGCGCUCACUGUGGCUGGGCUGGGGCCCCACUGCCCUUCGAGAUGUGCCCUUCUCAGCCCUGUACUGGUUCAACUAUGAGCUGGUGAAGAGCUGGCUCAGUGGGCUCAGGCCGAAGGACCAGACUUCUGUGGGCAUGAGCUUUGUGGCUGGUGGCAUCUCAGGGACGGUGGCUGCAGUGCUGACUCUACCCUUUGACGUGGUAAAGACCCAACGCCAGAUCGCUCUGGGAGCGAUGGAGGCUGUGAGAGGUAAGGGCCCAGACUGCCGUGGCAGGGGACAGGUGGGGUCCUGAAUGGGGUCUCUGAGCCGGCCUCACGUUUGCAGUGAACCCCCUGCAUGUGGACUCCACCUGGCUGCUGCUGCGGAGGAUCCAGGCCGAGUCAGGCACUAAGGGACUCUUUGCAGGUCAGUGUGUGGGUGUUGGGGUGGGGGCGGGGCUGACCUGCGACCUGACCUCUGACCCGGGCCUCCUUUCCACUGCAGGCUUCCUUCCUCGGAUCAUCAAGGCUGCCCCCUCCUGUGCCAUCAUGAUCAGCACCUAUGAGUUCGGCAAAAGCUUCUUCCAGAGGCUGAACCAGGACCGGCUUCUGGGCGGCUGAAAGGGGCGAGGAGGCAAGGACCCCGUCUCUCCCACGGAUGGGGAGAGGGCAGGAGGAGACCCAGCCAAGUGCCUUUUCCUCAGCACUGAGGGAGGGGCUUGUUUCCCUUCCCUCCCGUUGACAAGCUCCAGGGCAGGGCUGUCCCUCUGGGCGGCCCAGCCGUUCCUCAGACACAACUUCUUCAUGCUGCUCCAGUCGUGGGGAUCAUCACUUACCCACCCCCCAAGUUCAAGACCAAAUCUUCCAGCUGCCCCCUUUGUGUUUCCCUGUGUUUGCUGUAGCUGGGCCUGUCUCCAGGAACCCAGAGGC